GAGUUUGAUCAUGGCUCAGGACGAACGCUGGCGGCACGCCUAACACAUGCAAGUCGAACGGAGAUAUUUUGGUUUACUGAGAUAUCUUAGUGGCGGACGGGUGAGUAACACGUGAGCAACCUGCCUCUGAGAGAGGGAUAGCUUCUGGAAACGGAUGGUAAUACCUCAUAACAUAACGAAGCCGCAUGACUUUGUUAUCAAAGAUUUAUCACUCAGAGAUGGGCUCGCGUCUGAUUAGAUAGUUGGUGAGGUAACGGCUCACCAAGUCGACGAUCAGUAGCCGGACUGAGAGGUUGAACGGCCACAUUGGGACUGAGACACGGCCCAGACUCCUACGGGAGGCAGCAGUGGGGAAUAUUGCACAAUGGGGGAAACCCUGAUGCAGCGAUGCCGCGUGGAGGAAGAAGGUUUUCGGAUUGUAAACUCCUGUCUAAAGGACGAUAAUGACGGUACUAGGAGGAUUCCCGCG
This 469-nucleotide ribosomal RNA is filed under the name uncultured Bacillota bacterium. Its description in RNAcentral is "bacterial SSU rRNA". It matches the Rfam family "Bacterial small subunit ribosomal RNA", at positions 9 to 496 of the family's 1533-position model. The record is from RNAcentral. Lineage: Bacteria; Bacillati; Bacillota.